RNAcentral lists this ribosomal RNA (253 nucleotides) under uncultured bacterium. Its description in RNAcentral is "partial 16S ribosomal RNA". It matches the Rfam family "Bacterial small subunit ribosomal RNA", at positions 524 to 776 of the family's 1533-position model. The record is from RNAcentral.
UACGUAGGGGGCAAGCGUUAUCCGGAUUUACUGGGUGUAAAGGGAGCGUAGACGGCGAUGCAAGUCUGAAGUGAAAGGCGGGGGCCCAACCCCCGGACUGCUUUGGAAACUGUAUAGCUGGAGUGCAGGAGAGGUAAGUGGAAUUCCUAGUGUAGCGGUGAAAUGCGUAGAUAUUAGGAGGAACACCAGUGGCGAAGGCAGCUUACUGGACUGUAACUGACGUUGAGGCUCGAAAGCGUGGGGAGCAAACAGG